Molecule: ribosomal RNA, 250 nt
Filed under: uncultured bacterium
Lineage: Bacteria
Description: partial 16S ribosomal RNA
Rfam family: Bacterial small subunit ribosomal RNA
Source: RNAcentral
AGUAACACGUAGGUAACCUGCCCAUGUGCCCGGGAUAACUUCUGGAAACGGAUGCUAAAACCGGAUAGGUAGCAGACAAGCAUUUGACUGCUAUUAAAGUGGCUAAGGCCAUGAACAUGGAUGGACCUGCGGUGCAUUAGCUAGUUGGUGAGGUAACGGCCCACCAAGGCGACGAUGCAUAGCCGGCCUGAGAGGGCGGACGGCCACAUUGGGACUGAGACACGGCCCAAACUCCUACGGGAGGCAGAUG